AUGAAGCAGGCGUCUUCCAAUGAGCGCCUUGCGAACACAAACCCUCCCUGCUGGGAGCCCGGGCCCCCGGCACUGUCCUCGCUGAGCCCCCCAGGACAAAGAGCUACGGGGAACACGCGCUCCCGCCCAGCCUACAGCAGCGCUCGCGGGCCUGGCUUCCAAGGGGGCGGGGCUGGGUUUCCACGCGCCAGGGACGAACUGGGCCCCGCGGUCACACAGGCUCCCUGCCAAGAGAGCUGUUCCUGCCCGCCCUCCCCGCUACCACCGGCCUCUCGCUCCAGUCCCGGGCCCUCGUACACCCGCGCGGGAUCGAUCGCCCCCCAGUACUUCAAACUCAGCCCGUCCGACCGCACUGCUCCUACUGUGCCUCGCCCUUUUAAGCAGCCGAGCCGCGCACGGCUCUUUUCCGAGGUACGCGCAUGCGUGCGAGGAGCGAGCGGAGCGGGCACAGGCCUUGGUUUCAUAAGCUGGCGGCUGAUCUCGCGCCUAGACGGGUGCGCACGAGAGUCGGUCCCGGUAAAAAUGGUGUGCCAGUGGCAGAAAACUUCCGAAUGGAAGCGGUCCCCCUACCAGAUAAAAUCAC
Molecule: long non-coding RNA, 583 nt
Filed under: Gopherus agassizii (Agassiz's desert tortoise)
Lineage: Eukaryota; Metazoa; Chordata; Testudines; Testudinidae
Description: lncRNA (ENSGAGG00000005550.1)
Source: RNAcentral